Molecule: ribosomal RNA, 774 nt
Filed under: uncultured Neocallimastigales
Lineage: Eukaryota; Fungi; Neocallimastigomycota; Neocallimastigomycetes; Neocallimastigales
Description: partial large subunit ribosomal RNA
Rfam family: Eukaryotic large subunit ribosomal RNA
Source: RNAcentral
AGAGAUGUGUGAUGACGCAUAUCAAUAAGCGGAGGAAAAGAAACUAACAAGGAUUCCCUUAGUAACGGCGAGUGAAGCGGGAAGAGCUCAAAUUUGAAAUCUUAAAGGGUUUCCCUUGACGAAUUGUAGUUUAUAGAAGUGUUUUCUGUUAGUGGUUUGGUAAAAGUUCUUUGGAAUAGGACAUCAUAGAGGGUGAGAAUCCCGUAUUUGAUCAUUACUUCCUAGCGUUGUGAUACACUUUCAAAGAGUCGGAUUGUUUGGGAAUGCAGUCCAAAAUGGGUGGUAAAUUUCAUCUAAAGCUAAAUAUUGGCGAGAGACCGAUAGCGAACAAGUACCGUGAGGGAAAGAUGAAAAGAACUUUGAAAAGAGAGUUAAACAGUACGUGAAAUUGUCAAAAGGGAAGCGUUUGACACCAGUGUUGUUUUCUCGAAAAUCAAUUAAAAUGGCCGGAUUUUGUGUUGUAUUGACUUUAUCAGCUUUCUGCACUUUUUUUCCUAUCUUUUUUAAUGCACUUUUCGUUUAACAAGUCAGCAUCAAUUUCUUUUGUUGUAAAAGAGUCAUUGGAAGGUGGCUUUCUUUUCGGAGAAAGUGUUUAUAGCCUUUGGCUUCUGCAAUCGGAGAGAUUGAGGUCUGCAGCGUAGAUCCUUCGGGGUUAGAUGCAUUUGUGCUAAGUUAUAGCCUUUCAUAGACAACUUGUUGACCAUGAUCAGUCUUGUAGCUUACUCGCUUAUGCUAUUUUACCUACGCUUAGGAUGUUGAGUCGUAGAGCACGCA